UACGUAGGUGGCUAGCGUUGUCCGGAUUUACUGGGCGUAAAGAGCGCGCAGGCGGUCGUUCAAGUCGAGUGUGAAAGCCCCCGGCUCAACUGGGGAGGGUCACGCGAUACUGAUCGACUGGAAGGCAGGAGAGGGUAGUGGAAUUCCCGGUGUAGUGGUGAAAUGCGUAGAUAUCGGGAGGAACACCAGUGGCGAAGGCGACUACCUGGCCUGUUCUUGACGCUGAGGCGCGAAAGCUAGGGGAGCAAACGGG
Molecule: ribosomal RNA, 253 nt
Filed under: uncultured bacterium
Lineage: Bacteria
Description: partial 16S ribosomal RNA
Rfam family: Bacterial small subunit ribosomal RNA
Source: RNAcentral